UUCCUGUCCUCUUGGUGGGCUCGCACCUGCCCAGGAUCCCGAGCCGUGAUCGCUGGAGCUGUUGCAGAAAAACUUCGGAGACGUUCCUGCUUUCUUCUGUACAAAGGUGUACAUCUCUCCAGGAUGGGCUCCUAAUCAAAUAUGACUAGUGUCCCUAUCAGAAGAUGGCCAUGUGAAGAUAGACGAGGAGGAUGCCAUGUGAUGACAGAGGAUUGAAGUGGUGCAUCUACAAGCCAAGAAAUGUUUGGGGGCUACCCAAAGCUGGAAGAGACAUGAAACAAAUUCUCCUUUAGAACUCUCGGAACCAACCCUGUCGAUACAUUCAUUUUGGACUUCUAGCCUCCAGAACUGUGAAACAUUAAAUUUCUGUUGUUUAAAGCUA
Pteropus alecto (black flying fox) is the source of this 382-nucleotide long non-coding RNA. RefSeq lists it as uncharacterized. The record is from RefSeq and is a predicted model, not a curated record. The transcript has 2 exons. NCBI's taxonomy places the organism in Eukaryota, Metazoa, Chordata, Mammalia, Chiroptera, Pteropodidae.